CGGGGUGCAGCAGGCGCGAAAACUUUGCAAUGCGGGAAACUGUGACAAGGGAACUCUGAGUGCCCGUUAAAUCGGGCUGUCCAUCGGUUUAAAUAACCGGUGAAGAAAGGGCCGGGCAAGACCGGUGCCAGCCGCCGCGGUAAUACCGGCGGCUCGAGUGGUGGCCGCUUUUACUGGGCUUAAAGGGUCCGUAGCUGGAUUCACAAGUCCCUUGAGAAAUCUAUCGGCUUAACUGAUAGGCGUUCAGGGGAUACUGUGGUUCUAGGGACCGGGAGAGGUGAGAGGUACUGCCGGGGUAGGAGUGAAAUCCUGUAAUCCCGGUGGGACGACCUAUGGCGAAGGCAUCUCACCAGAACGGCUCCGACAGUGAGGGACGAAAGCUGGGGGAGCAAACCGGAUUAGAUACCCGGGUAGUCCCAGCUGUAAACGAUGCGCGUUAGGUGUGUCAGUGACCACGUGUCACUGAGGUGCCGAAGGGAAACCGUGAAACGCGCCGCCUGGGGAGUACGGUCGCAAGGCUGAAACUUAAAGGAAUUGGCGGGGGAGCAC
Molecule: ribosomal RNA, 549 nt
Filed under: uncultured archaeon
Lineage: Archaea
Description: bacterial SSU rRNA
Rfam family: Archaeal small subunit ribosomal RNA
Source: RNAcentral